This 518-nucleotide ribosomal RNA is filed under the name uncultured delta proteobacterium. RNAcentral's name for it is "bacterial SSU rRNA". It matches the Rfam family "Bacterial small subunit ribosomal RNA", at positions 9 to 506 of the family's 1533-position model. The record is from RNAcentral. Lineage: Bacteria; Deltaproteobacteria.
GAGUUUGAUCUUGGCUCAGAACGAACGUUAGCGGCGCGCCUAACACAUGCAAGUCGCACGAGAAAGGGCUUCGGCCCCGGUACAGUGGCGCACGGGUGAGUAACACGUGGGUAACCUACCCUCAGGCGGGGGAGUAACCUUCCGAAAGGAGGGCUAAUACCGCGUAAGACCACGACCUCGAGAGAGGAUGCGGUCAAAGCAGGCCUCUAUACAUAAGCUUGCACCUGAGGAUGGGCCCGCGUCCCAUCAGCUAGUUGGUAGGGUAAUGGCCUACCAAGGCGAAGACGGGUAGCUGGUCUGAGAGGAUGAUCAGCCACACUGGAACUGAGACACGGUCCAGACUCCUACGGGAGGCAGCAGUGGGGGAAUCUUGCGCAAUGGGCGAAAGCCUGACGCAGCGACGCCGCGUGGGUGAUGAAGGCCUUCGGGUUGUAAGCCCUGUGGGGAGAGACGAAUAAGUGUUGGCUAACAUCCAGCGCGAUGACGGUAUCUCCUUAGCAAGCACCGGCUAACUCUGU